RNAcentral lists this ribosomal RNA (539 nucleotides) under uncultured bacterium. Its description in RNAcentral is "bacterial SSU rRNA". It matches the Rfam family "Bacterial small subunit ribosomal RNA", at positions 97 to 649 of the family's 1533-position model. The record is from RNAcentral.
GGCGGACGGGUGAGUAAUACAUAGAUAACCUAGCCUUAAAGUGGGGAUAACUAGCCGAAAGGUUAGACUAAUACCGCAUAAUGUAGUUAAUUGUAAUAUUAACUAAGAAAGGAUUUAUUCGCUUAUAGAGGGGUCUAUGGUUGAUUAGCUAGUUGGUGGGGUAAGAGCUCACCAAGGCGACGAUCAAUAGCUGGUCUGAGAGGACGAUCAGCCACACUGGGACUGAGACACGGCCCAGACUUCUACGGAAGGCAGCAGUGGGGAAUUUUCCGCAAUGGGCGAAAGCCUGACGGAGCGACACCGCGUGGAGGAUGAAAUUUUUCGGAAUGUAAACUCCUUUUGGCAGGAAUGAAACAAAUGACAGUACCUGCAGAAUAAGCAUCGGCUAACUACGUGCCAGCAGCCGCGGUAAUACGUAGGAUGCAAGCGUUGUUCGGAAUUACUGGGCGUAAAGAGUACGUAGGCGGUAAUGAAAGUCUGAUAUUAAAGACUGGGGGCUUAACCUCAGGAGUGUAUCGGAAACUUCAUAACUAGAGGAC